RNAcentral lists this RNase P RNA (330 nucleotides) under Flavobacterium tibetense. Its description in RNAcentral is "Bacterial RNase P class A". It matches the Rfam family "Bacterial RNase P class A". From Rfam's summary of the family: Ribonuclease P (RNase P) is a ubiquitous endoribonuclease, found in archaea, bacteria and eukarya as well as chloroplasts and mitochondria. Its best characterised activity is the generation of mature 5'-ends of tRNAs by cleaving the 5'-leader elements of precursor-tRNAs. Cellular RNase Ps are ribonucleoproteins. The record is from Rfam by way of RNAcentral. Lineage: Bacteria; Pseudomonadati; Bacteroidota; Flavobacteriia; Flavobacteriales; Flavobacteriaceae.
ACCGCAGACCGCCUUAUCGCUGCUAUGAAAAUAGGAGAGGAAAGUCCGGACACCAAAGAGUAGCAUAGUGGGUAACACCCAUCUCCCGAUAGCUAUCGGGAAGGACAAGUGCAACAGAAAGUAUGUACAGGUAAUGCUGUAGUGAAACCAGGUAAACUCUAUGCGGUGAAAUGCCAAGUAUAUCAGCAGUUUUCGAGCAAUCGAAAUAAGGGUUACUCGCCCGAUGUUGAAGGGUAGGCAGCUUGAUCCCGAUAGUAAUAUCGGGACUAGAUAAAUGAUAAGGUUCCAAUUUAUUGGAAACAGAAUCCGGCUUAUAGGUCUGCUUUUUUU